Molecule: unclassified non-coding RNA, 454 nt
Filed under: Hevea brasiliensis (rubber tree)
Lineage: Eukaryota; Viridiplantae; Streptophyta; Magnoliopsida; Malpighiales; Euphorbiaceae
Source: RNAcentral
GGAACAUUCACUAAAAUACAUAUAGAAACCUACUCCAAUAAUAGCCAUUAUAUUUAUCCCAAGGUAAAGAAAAAAAUGUAACACAUAAAUAGACGACUUACCUUGGCCUCAAUGGACAAUUAUACACUUCAACUUUGAGAAUACACAUCUAGACACCUCAACUCGUCCCCACUGUGUCGUUGUGAACAACCGACGUUGAUGUGACUCAUAAAUUUUGGAGGUGUCUAGAUGAUCAUUUUUGUAAGUUGGACAGGUCAACUGACAUGGUUAGACGAGUUGAGGUGCCUAGAUGUGCAUCCUCAAAGUUGGAGUGUUUAGUUACCAGUUGAGGCCAAGUUAAACUGUGUUGCGUUCAGUCUAUACUGCAAAUUGAUAGAUGGAACAGCAGAUUAUGAGGCCAAUUGUGUUGAAGUAUUGGUUUUGAACUUUUUUUGAGCUUUCAAGUCCACCACAA